UGGGGAAUUUUGGACAAUGGGGGAAACCCGUGAUCCAGCCAUCCCGCGUGUGCGAUGAAGGCCUUCGGGUUGUAAAGCACUUUUGGCAGGAAAGAAACGUCGCGGGUUAAUACCCCGCGAAACUGACGGUACCUGCAGAAUAAGCACCGGCUAACUACGUGCCAGCAGCCGCGGUAAUACGUAGGGUGCAAGCGUUAAUCGGAAUUACUGGGCGUAAAGCGUGCGCAGGCGGUUCGGAAAGAAAGAUGUGAAAUCCCAGAGCUUAACUUUGGAACUGCAUUUUUAACUACCGGGCUAGAGUGUGUCAGAGGGAGGUGGAAUUCCGCGUGUAGCAGUGAAAUGCGUAGAUAUGCGGAGGAACACCGAUGGCGAAGGCAGCCUCCUGGGAUAACACUGACGCUCAUGCACGAAAGCGUGGGGAGCAAACAGGAUUAGAUACCCUGGUAGUCCACGCCCUAAACGAUGUCAACUAGCUGUUGGGGCCUUCGGGCCUUGGUAGCGCAGCUAACGCGUGAAGUUGACCGCCUGGGGAGUACGGUCGCAAGAUUAAAACUUAAAUGAAUUGACGGGGGUCAUAGCUGUUU
RNAcentral lists this ribosomal RNA (584 nucleotides) under uncultured bacterium. RNAcentral describes it as "partial 16S ribosomal RNA". It matches the Rfam family "Bacterial small subunit ribosomal RNA", at positions 355 to 935 of the family's 1533-position model. The record is from RNAcentral.